GUUCUCUCUUGCAUUCUAUGAUGUUUCCAGACACUCUGUGCAAAGAACAGAGGCAAGCCUCCAGCCAGGAGCUCAUGAAAUCAUGAACUGAGGCCUCAGUGCAAUAGCUCAUGAGGAAAUGAAUUAUUUCAACAGCCAGGGUUGCUCUGAAGACUAAAGCCCUGGGAUCAUUCAUUUUAAAAGAAAAGAACGGUGACUCAUCAUUUCAAGCUUUUCAAAUAUGAAGUAUUACAGUAAAAAGGAUUUCACUAAAAAAAAUCAUCUACCAUACAGACACUAUAGAAGGCUUGGAAAAGACAUUGUAAUAUAAAAGAUAUAUUUUAAAUUGUGUCUAUCCCUGGAACUCUAUUAAAAUUCAAUAUUAAGAAAGUCACAAAGGAGUCUAACUUGCCUUUCAAA
This 399-nucleotide long non-coding RNA is filed under the name Homo sapiens (human). Its description in RNAcentral is "HSALNT0339346". The record is from RNAcentral. Lineage: Eukaryota; Metazoa; Chordata; Mammalia; Primates; Hominidae.